Molecule: ribosomal RNA, 460 nt
Filed under: uncultured bacterium
Lineage: Bacteria
Description: partial 16S ribosomal RNA
Rfam family: Bacterial small subunit ribosomal RNA
Source: RNAcentral
CCUACGGGUGGCAGCAGUGAGGAAUAUUGGUCAAUGGACGAGAGUCUGAACCAGCCAAGUAGCGUGAAGGAUGACUGCCCUAUGGGUUGUAAACUUCUUUUAUAAAGGAAUAAAACGAGGCACGUGUGCCUUUUUGCAUGUACUUUAUGAAUAAGGAUCGGCUAACUCCGUGCCAGCAGCCGCGGUAAUACGGAGGAUCCGAGCGUUAUCCGGAUUUAUUGGGUUUAAAGGGAGCGUAGAUGGGUUGUUAAGUCAGUUGUGAAAGUUUGCGGCUCAACCGUAAAAUUGCAAUUGAAACUGGCGUUCUUGAGUGAGCGAGAAGUAUGCGGAAUGCGUGGUGUAGCGGUGAAAUGCAUAGAUAUCACGCAGAACUCCGAUUGCGAAGGCAGCAUACCGGCGCUCAACUGACGCUCAUGCACGAAAGCGUGGGUAUCGAACAGGAUUAGAUACCCGGGUAGUC